GACGAACGCUGGCGGCGUGCUUAACACAUGCAAGUCGAACGGAAAGGCCCUGCUUUUGUGGGGUGCUCGAGUGGCGAACGGGUGAGUAACACGUGAGUAACCUGCCCUUGACUUUGGGAUAACUUCAGGAAACUGGGGCUAAUACCGGAUAGGAGCUCCUGCUGCAUGGUGGGGGUUGGAAAGUUUCGGCGGUUGGGGAUGGACUCGCGGCUUAUCAGCUUGUUGGUGGGGUAGUGGCUUACCAAGGCUUUGACGGGUAGCCGGCCUGAGAGGGUGACCGGCCACAUUGGGACUGAGGUACCGCCCAGACUCCUACGGGAGGCAGCAGUGGGGAAUAUUGCCCAAUGGGCGGAAGCCUGAUGCAGCAACGCCGCGUGCGGGAUGACGGCCUUCGGGUUGUAAACCGCUUUCGCCUGUGACGAAGCGUGAGUGACGGUAAUGGGUAAAGAAGCACCGGCUAACUACGUG
This 468-nucleotide ribosomal RNA is filed under the name uncultured bacterium. Its description in RNAcentral is "partial 16S ribosomal RNA". It matches the Rfam family "Bacterial small subunit ribosomal RNA", at positions 28 to 507 of the family's 1533-position model. The record is from RNAcentral.